UACGGAGGGUGCUAGCGUUGUUCGUAAUUACUGGACGUAAAGCGCACGUAGGCGGCUAUUCAAGUCAGAGGUGAAAGCCCGGGGCUCAACUCCGGAAUUGCCUUUGAAACUGGAUGGCUAGAACACGGGAGAGGUGAGUGGAAUUCCGAGUGGAGAGGUGAAAUUCGUAGAUAUUCGGAGGAACACCAGUGGCGAAGGCGGGUCACUGGACCGUUGUUGACGCUGAGGUGCGAAAGCGUGGGGAGCAAACAGG
Molecule: ribosomal RNA, 253 nt
Filed under: uncultured bacterium
Lineage: Bacteria
Description: partial 16S ribosomal RNA
Rfam family: Bacterial small subunit ribosomal RNA
Source: RNAcentral